CACCAGCCAUACUUCAUCUCCCACUUCUCUCGCCGGCUAAACCCUAUUCCAAGUUCCAACUCCCCAAGUCCCAACCCCAGCUCAAAAAAAAAAAAAGUCCCAACCCGGUAAAGCAGCCCCGGCCACAGCAUUGCGCCGCCGAGUCCUGAGUUGACAACGACGACGCCUAACCCUAGCCCCUCCGCCAUCGUCCAGUGGACCCUUGCCUGGCGGGCCCUCCGCCGGAAGCCGUUCUCCUCUUCAUCGCCGUCGCGCUCUGCCCGACCAGCCAGAUUGAUCCACGUCGGGACCUCCUGUUGUCGUCUCCCAAAUUAGUUGGACUGACCAGUCGCUCCUCUUCCUCCCAUCGCGCGAAGCAGGCAUGUCCCAUCAGUCAGACACAUCAUCCUGUUCAGAUGAUUCUAAAGAGACCAACACCAUCAACCCAACCGGUAUAUACACUAUGGAAGAAUUCAUUGCUGAACAAAGCAUCUUUCACAAUUUACUUGAGCGGAUCACUGUGAAGAUUCAAGACAAAAUCAAAUCUCAACAAGCUGGUACAUCUCACCGUGGGAGUAGGAGGUACAUAAAGAGAAAUCGUGAAGAGGGCCAUCAACAACUGGUGGUUGAUUACUUCUCUGAAGAUCCUACCUACACUGACAAGCAAUUCCGGACAAGAUACCGGAUGAGAAGACCCCUGUUUCUGCGUAUAGUCCAUGCCUUAGGUGAGUGGUCUACCUAUUUCACAGAAAGGAGAGAUGCCUUUAAUCGUCAAGGGCUCUCACCUCUACAGAAGUGCACAGCAGCUAUUGGUAUAUUGGCAUGUGGUUCCCCCUCAGGCGCCAUUGACAACUAUGUACAAAUUGGUUUGAGCACAGUAAUGGACUGUUUGGAGCAGUUUUUGGAAGGGGUGAUUGCUGUGUUUGGUGGAGAAUACCUGCGGAGCCCCACUAGUGUGGAUAUGCAACGUCUACUGCAAAUGGGUGAGUCCCGUGGCUUCCCUGGCAUGUUGGGAAGCAUUGGUUGUAUGCAUUGGGAGUGGAAAAAUUGCCCUGUUAAAUGGAUACGUAAACUUACUCAUAGUGAUCACGGUGCCACAAAGGUAAUUUUUGAAGCAGUUGCUUCACAAGACCUCUGGAUAUGGCAUGCUUUUUUUUGGUGUUAUUGGGUCCCACACUGACAUCACCAUGCUUAAUCAGUCACAUUUGUUCACCGAUGUCUUGAAAGGUCAAGGUCCUCAUGUGCAAUUCUCCGUCAACAGGACCCAAUACAAAAUGAGUUACUAUCUUGCUGAUGGAAUAUACCCAGAAUGGCCUGUCUUCAUUCAGACAAUACCCCUCCCUCAAACUGAAAAGGACCGAUUGUUUGCAUGACAUCACGAAGGAGCAAGAUAUGAUGUCCAGCGAGCAUUUAGACUCCUAGUUAGAGUCUCAUUUUCCCAUUGUGCGUGGCCCAACACAAUUUUUUCAGCAAGCAACUCUAGGAAAAAUCAUGCAAGCUUGCAUCAUACUUCAUAACAUGACAGUUGAGGAUGAGCAAGAUAUGGCUAGUACAUGUUUUGGCUCAGACAUAAUUUCAGAGACAUCGGUUCCUGUACCGUCAGAUAUCAACAAUGGACCUGCCGAUUGUUUUGCUGAUUUAUUAAGGAAAAAUGCUACUAUUUAUGCGAAACCAAUAUACAACCAACUCAGGAGAGAUUUGAUUGAGCAUGUUUGGCAGAGGUUUGGGCCAUUUGGUGAUAAGUAUAUAUAAAAUAUUAAUCCUGUGAAAGAUAUCAACGAUGGACCUGCCGAUUGUUUUGCUGAUUUAUUACGGACAAAUGCUACUAUUUAUGUGAAACCAAUACACAAUCUACUCAAGGGAGAUUUAAUCGAGCAUGUUUGGCAGCGGUUUGGGCCAUUUGCUGACAAGUAAUAAUGAAAUAAUUAAUCCUGUGAAAGGUACUCAGAACAGUAGCAUCCAUGGGAGGGAGUAGCAUCACAUCACCUGGACCUCACUUAUUUUUCUACCACAUUGAUUAGUUAAAAGUCAUAAUCCAUAGGGAGAGAAAAUAUGUCACACCAGAACUGCUUGGUUUGAGUCUUGUUGACGCUUAGAGAAUAAUCUUGGAGUCUGUUAGUGAGUUUAUGAACUCCGGGCAUGUUGUUUCUUGUCUUAUUGAUUAUAAUUGAGAGAGAUAUUAAAAUGCAUGCCGUGGAUGUCCUUAUAAACAAAGGAAACUUUGUUGAAUUUUCUAAUUUUUCAUAGGAUUUAGUGUUGCUGGGUUUAGAGUAAUAAUAUUCCAAGUAUGGUCGAUACUUGGGGUGUUACAGCUAUCUUAACAUUUGUCAUGGUUUGAUGUGUACUGAUACUUUUAGGUUAAAUUAUUAGGUAGUCACCAGGCUUUGGUUA
Brachypodium distachyon (stiff brome) is the source of this 2370-nucleotide long non-coding RNA. RefSeq lists it as uncharacterized. The record is from RefSeq and is a predicted model, not a curated record. The transcript has 4 exons. NCBI's taxonomy places the organism in Eukaryota, Viridiplantae, Streptophyta, Magnoliopsida, Poales, Poaceae.